AGGUACGUACACGCAACAGAAGGUGCAUGCACCAGGCAUCUGUGUGUGGUCACUUUAAAAAAAAAGACGCUUCAUCCACGCCUACGUUUGCUCUAUCUUGUUUUGCUAUUCUGAUUCGUGAGCUACCCCACUCUUCCCUCCCCCUUUCUCCCUCGAAGGGGUGCCAGAGGAAUCUCUAUCUUUUGGGGAAUCUGCCUGGAUUUGUAUGCUCGCACGCACGCCGCGCAUCAUACGGCGUACAUGCUGGAAGCCGCCAAUCGCGCCACCGGACGCCUUCUGCACCGCAAGCGCUGAAAGGGGGAAAAACAAGAGCACUCUCGAUGCAAACAGAUUUAACGAGAUUACGGUGGCACAUGCCUCUGCCGCGGCGAGGGCGAAAGACGAAUGCCUUCUGCAUGUAUGAGCCCCU
RNAcentral lists this unclassified non-coding RNA (409 nucleotides) under Leishmania donovani. RNAcentral describes it as "gene:unknown". Lineage: Eukaryota; Euglenozoa; Kinetoplastea; Trypanosomatida; Trypanosomatidae. The record is from RNAcentral.